CUUUUCUUUUCUUUUCUUUUCUUGUCUUGUGCGGCUGGCUGGGUAAGUGCUACCAUUUUCAGUGUAAAAGGUUUGUUCCCCCUGGAAGAAAAAAGAAAAGAAAAAAGGUAGAGAUAUGUCAGGUUUAUAUAAUCCCAACUUUUCACCUGCCAGAGCUGCUUCUCCCCAGAUUAGAAGUACACCAGAUGUUGACAGUAAUCACUACUUGUCAGAGCUGUUGGCGGAACAUCAAAAGCUUGGACCUUUUAUGCAAGUUCUUCCUAUAUGUAGCAGACUCUUGAAUCAAGAGAUUUUAAGGGUUUCCGGAAUGCUGCCGAACCAAGGAUUUGGUGAACUAGACAGAUUGCGACAUAGAAGUCCCAGUCCUAUGGGUUCAGCAAACCUUAUGUCAAAUGUUACUGGAGCAGGAUUGAGUGGUUGGAAUGGACUUCCCCAGGAGAGGUUGAGUGGACCUCCUGGAAUGUCAAUGGACUGGCAAGGGGCCCCAGCAAGUCCUAGUUCGUACACUGUGAAAAGAAUAUUGCGGUUAGAAAUUCCAGUCGACACUUAUCCAAAUUUUAAUUUUGUUGGGCGACUUCUUGGCCCCCGAGGGAAUUCAUUGAAACGGGUGGAAGCUACCACAGGAUGCCGUGUUUUUAUUAGAGGAAAAGGCUCGAUAAAAGAUCCAGACAAGGAGGAGAAACUAAGGGGAAGACCAGGAUAUGAGCACCUGAAUGAACCACUCCACAUUUUAAUUGAAGCUGAUUUGCCAGCCAGCGUUGUGGAUAUUAGAUUGAGACAGGCACAGGAAAUCAUAGAGGAGUUGCUCAAGCCGGUGGAUGAAUCAGAGGACUAUAUAAAGAGACAGCAAUUGCGUGAACUGGCGAUGCUAAAUUCAAAUUUCAGGGAAGAGAGCCCUGGACCAAGU
RNAcentral lists this unclassified non-coding RNA (907 nucleotides) under Hevea brasiliensis (rubber tree). Lineage: Eukaryota; Viridiplantae; Streptophyta; Magnoliopsida; Malpighiales; Euphorbiaceae. The record is from RNAcentral.